Long non-coding RNA from Prionailurus viverrinus (fishing cat), 1277 nucleotides. RefSeq lists it as uncharacterized. The transcript is spliced from 4 exons. Lineage: Eukaryota; Metazoa; Chordata; Mammalia; Carnivora; Felidae. The record is from RefSeq and is a predicted model, not a curated record.
CCAGGAGGGUUGAGCGCUUAACCUUUACGCAGAGGCAUGGGGUUCCCGGGAGAUCAUAUCGCCCGGGGUGUGCAGAAGGAAAUUGGGUUGGGGUCCGCUGUGUGGGCAGUCAAUCGCUCCUUCCGACCUUCCUCUUCCCACCCUCGCUGAGCCAGCCCAGACGUCGGCAGUCUCCACCCUUCCUCCCUGCUCCGGGAGACCCGGCUCCCUGGGGGAAGGGCUGAAGGCAACGCAGACGCAGCCAGCCAAGAGGCUUGGGCCAGGGUCUCAGGGCAAAGGGCGUGGGAAGGGCUGGCCCUCAGAGCCGGUUGGGGAGUCCCCAGUACUGGGCACAGUGCCCACCCACCUUGCCCGUGACAUCGUAGCUCGGACUGCAGGGCGGGGAGUGCUCGGGCGCCUCUCCAUCCCGGGUGGCAGCGGCGCCAGACAUGCCCGUCACGUCUCCUGGACGAGAGGAAGAGGAGCAGACACGCAGGGAGAAGCCGGCCAUGUGAACACAGACGCAGAGAUCCGAGUGGUGUAUUUACAAGCCAACAAAUGGCGAGCAUCGCCAGGAGCCACCAGAAGCUGGAGGAGGCAAAGAAGGAGACCCCCGCCUCCCGCCCCCCAGAGCCUUCAGAGGGCUUCUAACUUCCAGCUGUGGUUUGUGUUGUUGGCUCAACCAAGAUCCUCCUUUGUCCUGUGCUGCCAGGAUUUUCCUGAAGAUUCUCCAGGUUGGCCCCAAAUCUCACUGCUUGGAGAAGCUGAAUGUCAACUUUGGAUCCAGAAUUUCUAUUGCACCUUCCCUCCUCUGAAGCAUUUGUGAAAAUGUUAAUGAAUCGUGGUUCAAACAGAGACCUCUGUGCCAACUCUGCCACCAUUCAGACAAGUGUUUCCGUUCUGUCUUAAGUCAGUUGGUUUAUGUUUGUAUUUGGCUCCAUCCAUUCCAAAAGGAAUUUGAGGAAUUCAAAACCCGCCUACACCAGAGGCCAGAUUUCCUGGCAUCCACGACAAAAUGGGAAGCUAGAUGGGGUAUGUAGUAUUUAUUGCCUGAGUCUUCUCAAUGAGUGAGUAUUUUCUGCCGGCAUGCGAUGUGGAGAGGAAUCUCUUAUGUGGAUUCUUAUAUGAGGGGCCUCUAGUGACAAAAUGGAAGAGUUGGGAUUUUGCAGAGAAGGUGAAGCUUUUCCUAUAGCUUUUCUAUUGACUCUUUUUUUCAUAUAAAAUUUUUUUUUAAUGUUUAUUCAUUUUUGAGAGACAGAGAGAGACAGAGCAUGAGCAGGGAAGGGGCAGAGAGAGAG